Stylophora pistillata is the source of this 468-nucleotide long non-coding RNA. The record is from RefSeq and is a predicted model, not a curated record. NCBI's taxonomy places the organism in Eukaryota, Metazoa, Cnidaria, Anthozoa, Scleractinia, Pocilloporidae.
UUGCUUAACAAACAGAGAAACAGAUGCUCGAUGACAUUUCCUCUAUAUUAGCCCAAGCACUUUUCAGCGGCAUCAAACUGACCUAGCCAGGCACCUUCAUCUGAAUGAAACUCUGCAAAGGGAUGAAAUCAAGAGUGAUGUUCGGUAUUCUGUUCCUGCUCUCUGUGUUCCUUAUCCAAGGAUCUAAGGGGAUAGGAUUAUCCCAUUGUCAUGGGUGUGCGGAAAAACUGAGAGAAAGGCGCGAAAGACAGGUCUGCCUAACAGCGCGACGGCUGGAUUGUGAACAGAUGCUGCGAGAUGGAGAGACCAAGAACCAAAUGACUAGCGACUUGGGGUUACAAAUAAAAGGAGACGUUGAUUAAAAACAUAGUGCAUAACAAUGUAACUGUGAAAUGAACUACAGCUCGAUUGUUUUUGUAACUUGAACCUCAUUGUCGUUUUACCCAAAUUAAACGAGCCCUUAACGAU